Lineus longissimus is the source of this 3264-nucleotide RNA transcript. RefSeq lists it as uncharacterized. Lineage: Eukaryota; Metazoa; Nemertea; Pilidiophora; Heteronemertea; Lineidae. The record is from RefSeq and is a predicted model, not a curated record. The transcript has 4 exons.
GGCCGUAGCAGGUGAGUUGUCAUGACGUACCUGUAACCAAGCGCGCCAGUGGUUAAAAGUCAUUGCUGAUCAGGGGAGAGGCAGAGCUAGGAACUUUGGAGGCGCACAUACCGACAAGACACAGUCAUGGCAAACAACACCAACAGAACGUUACUAAGUGUGCUCCUGCUGGAACUGUUUCUGUUGUGUUUAUCACAUGUAAAUGCAGAUCUGUCCAUGAAUAAUGAUGCAGCGCGCGUCUUACACAACAAACUGUCCAAGCGUUCCCCAUUAGGUCCCAGCAGCCACACCUUUUGGAAGCGAGCAUGGGAAGGCCUCGGCCAGAACCUUUGUUGCAAAAUGGCUGAAUCCGGCUGCUGCAAAAAAGCCAAGCGAAGCGAAUUAGGCGAAGUCGAGGACGAGGAAAGCGCGAACAAAAUCAGAGAAGAAGUAGUCCGGACACAAACACAGAGCGUUGCUUGCAAAUGCUGCAUACAUACAGAAAUCUUCAACUGUUGCGAAAUGUGCAAGAUGAGAUAACUAAACUCAGUGAAACUAUUUACAACUUUCUCAAUAGGUGGCGCUUCCGCCGUGUUCGCGCGGCCGCUCUGAUAUGGCGUUGUAUUACUUAGAACAGCAUGAUACCUACUCCCUUUGACAUCACUAACUUUUCAGGAACUUCCAUUGAAUUGACAGGCAUCUGAAAAAGGCCAACAGUCUCUACCAUAACCCGCCGAAAACCAUAACAAUUUACGCCAAACAGAAGAGUAUAAGUUACUUUCUCAUCGGACAUCUCUUUGAAAACCAUGAAAAAUGUCAAUGACAACUGCAUGGCAACAUUUUAUGAUUUAAUUUUUUUUUAAAUAGGCAGAUUUCGCGACUCUUAUGAAGGAAGAAGUGCGAAGUAUCAAAAUGUCAUUCUUUAUCGACGAUUUUAUAUAUCAUUUAUCCACUUUCCCUUAUACUGUACAACUAUGAACAGAAGAUGAUUUACGAGUGCCGUGUAAAGGAAUCAGCCCAGGACUUCUUGACAUUUUUGUACUUCGUCGUUCCUAUAUAUGGGUUGCUAAACAUGCCUAAUGUUCUUAAUACGACGACGAAAGCAUGUCCAAAUAACAUCAUGACAUAUCAUCCGACGACUAUAAAGGCAUUGCUCUUUUUGCGUCAAGUUUCAAAUCGGGGGUUACAGCACGCAGUCGUACAUUUUGCGGAACCAGACUCUUUUGAACCAGCACGAAAGAUCACUUGUUAAAACUUUGGACUCGUACACCCCAUGAUUCCAUAUCAAAAUUGUGCAAUGCAGAACGAAACGAGAGUGUUACACUAAGCUUUGAAAAUCACACAAGCUGAAAACUUUUCAGGCAAUUCGCUGAACAAGUUAAAAUCUUCUUCACGAUGGUCUCUUAUAGGUAUACGCCAAACUUUCUCCGGAUUAAAUUAGCUCUAAUUAUCACCUGCAUCGGUAUCUCGCUUCGAGAAAUGGUUUGUUGGGUAAAAUAUGGCGCUUUUCAAUAAAACUGUUAUACCUAAAUUUAAUCCCUUUUAUGGUAACAUGCAGAAUCAUGAUCAUGUAAAGCCUGAAGCUGUUUGAACAGCUUAAUUCUUUCGAUAUUCCCUUGACUUACACUCCCAAAGCAGUGUAGAAGCAGUGUAGACGCUCAAACGCAAAUCUAUAUUAUCCUGAUAACCGAGAGAGAAGAGCCUCUCCUAUGCUUAUGAAGAGGUACCGAAAACACCAGGGCAUUGCAAGUACAAUGUGCAGCAGGGGUCCUAUAGCGCAGCGGCGAGUUCAAGCAAUUCAGGCAUGCGGCAGCGGCAGCAGCAGCAGCUAUAAUGUCAAGGGCAGCGACAGCGAUGAAGCAAAGCAGCGAUACGGUGCGGUAAAAAUGGCAGCGCCCAUGUCAAGAGAUUCAGUUGACGAAGAGGUAGAAGACACAGACAUAUCGCGCAACAAACGGGCAUUCCAGGCAGGCGCAUGGAACGAAGUGCCCGACCCACACAAAAAAAGGCAAUACGAAGGAAUCUUCAUUACUGACGGUUCUCAGAAGCGAAGCUGGGACGCUCUCGGGAUCCCAGACAAGCGCAGCUGGGACGCACUCGGCAUCCCCGACAGGAGGAGCUGGGACGCACUAGGAAUCCCCGACAGGCGCAGUAUGGGACUGAAUGAAAAGGACGUCAAGGCUUUGGCGUCUUUCAUCGCCAGUCGCAAUAACAGACGACAGUAGACCUCACUGCAUGGACUUUCGACAAACUUCUGCCCUUCUGCAAAGGUUGUACACUGAUGUAAAAACAUAUUUUCUGGGGACGGGAACAUCAUCAAAUCAGAACUGGUACGAUCAAACUGCACAUCAGUAAUCGUUUCCCGGCGAUGUCUGCAACUCUGAUGUAACUAGGCCGGAUUAAUAUAGUGUUUACGUUUUCACAUGUAAUGUGUUACUUUUUACUCGUCUUUCGUGACAUGAGUAUAGCGAACAAGCCAUUUUCGGGCUAGAUACGAUUUACGCCUUCGGUUUUCACUAUCAGGUUGACACAUGAUGUUUUAAAACCUUGGAGUUCGUUUACAAACAUGCUCAUGUGUCACUGUGAAUCUUAUAUUAGUCCGGCCAAAGGUCGAAUCAUUCCUUGUCCGCACAGCGUCAAUUUUACACACCCGGUGUAAUGUUUUUGAGUGUUUCUGUUUUUGAGUGUUUCCCCUCAUUGUUUGGGAACGCUCAAAAAUAGAUUGACGAGUUUUUCUGUGUAUCCCCCCUAUUGAAAAGUCAUGGUCUCUCUAGCUGCCUAUUGUUUGGAAACACAGAAACAUGGGGAACAACCACAGAUGUUACACCGGCUUUCGUACGAACGAAGCUAUCCUUAAACUUCAGUGUUACUGCCGAAUGUAUGUUCCGCUGGUUACAAUAAAGCAUCAUUCUUUACUUUGGCUAGACUCUCUGGGCAGUCCAUUGCACCAUCCUAAUUGAAUCUCGUUUAAGGGUGAGGAACGAGGCCGGUCCACUGCGUGCGGGGUGUAGCUUUGGCAGGCCUCGUGCAAGUUAUAUCGUUUUCCUCAAAUUGAGUUUCAAAUAAACACAGAAAUGGAAAGAGAGAAAAAUUCAUCAUGAUUACUUGUUGUUCCUAUGUGAAUAUUCACUUUUUCUAAAUCGCUAAACUCUAGACGGUUAAAAUCAGACAAAAACCUCAUUAUUGCAGUUAUCAACGCCGUUUUAUACACCAUGCUGUUUUAUAAAUCUUGAGUCAAUAGCCUUGUAAUAUAGCUGAACUGAUAGAAUAAACAUAUCAAAUGAA